CACCCGAGAGCACCGCCACCGGUAAGCUUUAGUUUUUCGUGAUUUGUUGGCCCACCGAGGGCCCUAAGGUUGUUUUAUCGCAGGGACCGAUGCAAGUGUGGCCGAAUUCGAUCGGAAACGGCCGAAAACGGCCAACCCGAGGUGAAUUACCGCCGCCCGUCACCGGAGCACGGUGGAGCCGCCGUGCCAGAAUUGCGAUAUUGGCUGAAAGGGACUCUAGGUCUAAUUUGGGAUUUUUUGGGACACGUGCAGGUACCAGUAGUGCGUUUCAGCUCCCCGGGAAAACUCAGGAAAAAUUAGGGACAGCCUGUAGGCGCACUGUAGAGCCGUAUUCAGACCCCGAAACAAGUAAGGACCCCUCACCCUAUUUCCUAUCACGGUAUUAAAGUUCAAUAAAAAAAUAAAACGGUAUUUCAUGAAUCAAUAGAUGUGUGAAAUUAUUGAAGGUCGCUAAUGGAGCCCGAGUCUGGUGUAUUUGACGGUCAGUUGUGUUUGUCCUAUUUUACAGUUUUAAAUGCAGUAUGAUGUCUGAUGUUCUCAUUUCAUAGUUUCGUGUGCAUAUAUCACUAUUUUAUUGAUUAUGGGUUGAAUGACUGAGAAUCCG
RNAcentral lists this long non-coding RNA (604 nucleotides) under Carica papaya (papaya). Its description in RNAcentral is "long non-coding RNA (CPAP_LNC014163)". Lineage: Eukaryota; Viridiplantae; Streptophyta; Magnoliopsida; Brassicales; Caricaceae. The record is from RNAcentral.